CAGAGGGUGCAAGCGUUGUUCGGAAUUAUUGGGCGUAAAGCGCGUGUAGGCGGCAUAGCAAGUCGGGUGUGAAAGCCCUCAGCUCAACUGAGGAAGUGCGCCCGAAACUGCUGUGCUUGAGUACCGGAGAGGGUGGCGGAAUUCCCCAAGUAGAGGUGAAAUUCGUAGAUAUGGGGAGGAACACCGGUGGCGAAGGCGGCCACCUGGACGGCUACUGACGCUGAGACGCGAAAGCAUGGGGAGCAAACAGGAUUAGAUACCCUGGUAGUCCAUGCCAUAAACGAUGAGAACUAGGUGUCGCGGGAGUUGACCCCUGCGGUGCCGUAGCUAACGCAUUAAGUUCUCCGCCUGGGAAGUACGGUCGCAAGACUA
This 372-nucleotide ribosomal RNA is filed under the name uncultured organism. Its description in RNAcentral is "bacterial SSU rRNA". It matches the Rfam family "Bacterial small subunit ribosomal RNA", at positions 526 to 896 of the family's 1533-position model. The record is from RNAcentral.